GCCUAUGAGGAAAUCCAAUUAUGUGAGGUGCAGUGGAGCUGAGACCCUGUUUUCAGGGAGAACCCCUUGGCAGAAACUGCAAUUUCUAUGAAGCUAUUGGACUAACUGAGGC
RNAcentral lists this small nucleolar RNA (112 nucleotides) under Brassica napus (rape). RNAcentral's name for it is "Small nucleolar RNA Z278". It matches the Rfam family "Small nucleolar RNA Z278". Rfam says of the family: snoZ278 is a C/D box small nucleolar RNA. Its methylation guide targets have not been reported. Lineage: Eukaryota; Viridiplantae; Streptophyta; Magnoliopsida; Brassicales; Brassicaceae. The record is from Rfam by way of RNAcentral.